AGAGUUUGAUCCUGGCUCAGAAUGUACGCUGGCGGCACGCCUAACACAUGCAAGUCGAGCGAGGUACUUGUACCUAGCGGCAGACGGGUGCGUAACAUGUGGGAAUCUGCCUUUUGGUUCGGAACAACAUGGGGAAACCUGUGCUAAUACCGGAUAAGUCCUUACGGAGAAAGAUUUAUCGCCGAAAGAUGAGCCCGCACUAGAUAGCUUGUUGGUAAGGUAAAAGCUUACCAAGGCUACGAUCUAUAGCUGAUUUGAGAGGAUGAUCAGCCACACUGGGACUGAGACACGGCCCAGACUCCUACGGGAGGCAGCAGUGGGGAAUCUUGCACAAUGGAGGAAACUCUGAUGCAGCGAUGCCGCGUGAGUGAAGAAGGCCCUUGGGUUGUAAAGCUCUUUUGUCGGGAAAGAUAAUGACUGUACCCGAAGAAUAAGGUCCGGCUAACUUCGUGCCAGCAGCCGCGGUAAUACGAAGGGACCUAGCGUAAUUCGGAAUUACUGGGCGUAAAGCGCGCGUAGGCGGUUAAGUAAGUUAAUUGUGAAAGCCCAAAGCUCAACUUUGGAAUUGCAAUUAAAACUAUUUAGCUAGAGUUUAUCAGAGGAAAGCGGAAUACAUAGUGUAGAGGUGAAAUUCGUAGAUAUUAUGUAGAACACCAGUUGCGAAGGCGGCUUUCUGGGAUAACACUGACGCUGAGGUGCGAAAGUAUGGGUAGCGAAGAGGAUUAGAUACCCUCGUAGUCCAUACCGUAAACGAUGAUUGUUAGAUGUUGGAAAUUUAUUUUCAGUAUCACAGCUAACGCGUUAAACAAUCCGCCUGGGGAGUACGACCGCAAGGUUAAAACUUAAAGGAAUUGACGG
Molecule: ribosomal RNA, 858 nt
Filed under: uncultured marine bacterium
Lineage: Bacteria
Description: bacterial SSU rRNA
Rfam family: Bacterial small subunit ribosomal RNA
Source: RNAcentral